Molecule: ribosomal RNA, 268 nt
Filed under: uncultured Streptococcus sp.
Lineage: Bacteria; Bacillati; Bacillota; Bacilli; Lactobacillales; Streptococcaceae
Description: partial 16S ribosomal RNA
Rfam family: Bacterial small subunit ribosomal RNA
Source: RNAcentral
UUAGUUGCCAUCAUUCAGUUGGGCACUCUAGCGAGACUGCCGGUAAUAACCGGAGGAAGGUGGGGAUGACGUCAAAUCAUCAUGCCCUUAUGACCUGGGCUACACACGUGCUACAAUGGUUGGUACAACGAGUUGCGAGUCGGUGACGGCGAGCUAAUCUCUUAAAGCCAAUCUCAGUUCGGAUUGUAGGCUGCAACUCGCCUACAUGAAGUCGGAAUCGCUAGUAAUCGCGGAUCAGCACGCCGCGGUGAAUACGUUCCCGGGCCUU